RNAcentral lists this ribosomal RNA (400 nucleotides) under uncultured bacterium. RNAcentral describes it as "bacterial SSU rRNA". It matches the Rfam family "Bacterial small subunit ribosomal RNA", at positions 355 to 748 of the family's 1533-position model. The record is from RNAcentral.
UGGGGAAUAUUGGACAAUGGGCGAAAGCCUGAUCCAGCAAUACCGCGUGUGUGAAGAAGGCCCUAGGGUUGUAAAGCACUUUCAAUUGGAAGGAAAAACUCAUGGCUAAUACCCGUGAGCUUGACAUUACCUUUAGAAGAAGCACCGGCUAACUCCGUGCCAGCAGCCGCGGUAAUACGGAGGGUGCAAGCGUUAAUCGGAAUUACUGGGCGUAAAGCGUGCGUAGGCGGCUUGCUAAGUCAGAUGUGAAAGCCCCGGGCUCAACCUGGGAACUGCAUUUGAAACUGGCAGGCUAGAGUUUGGGAGAGGAGAGUGGAAUUUCAGGUGUAGCGGUGAAAUGCGUAGAGAUCUGAAGGAACACCAGUGGCGAAGGCGACUCUCUGGCCCAAAACUGACGCUC